UGGAGACGUUGCUGAAAACCCGGUUAUUGACUAUUGUUUCAAAAAUGUUCAGGGACUCCGUAAGGCGAUUCGUUUGCCGAUCCUCCAUAAGCACUUGGUCAAAUUCACUUGAGGAAACAAGGAAGAGUAUUGAUGUGACACUGUCGAAGCAUUCAAACCAACGUUUCCGUUCUGACCUUUGGCCACCUACAUCAACCAUUUUGAAAGGAACAUUCUUUAUUUCAAAGUUGUACUCAUGAAUCCCUUUUGUGGGUCUUCGUGCCAGCAGAAUAUCUUGCUGUGAGGGAAGAUAAUCCUGUUCUCCAAGUUUAUCCAAGUUGUCCAAGAAAUAUUUUACGGAUUCCCC
RNAcentral lists this long non-coding RNA (346 nucleotides) under Gallus gallus (chicken). The record is from RNAcentral. Lineage: Eukaryota; Metazoa; Chordata; Aves; Galliformes; Phasianidae.